AACUAAUCUGGAAAUUGUCCUUACAGUUAUUAGAUCAAUAGCUGAUGUCUUUUAUAUGAUUCAGAUAUAUGUUCGGUUUAGAACUGCUUAUGUUGCUCCAUCUUCUCGAGUAUUUGGGAGAGGAGAGCUUGUAAUAGAUUCUUCAAAGAUCGGUCACAGAUACUUUAAAAAAGGUUUCUGGAUCGAUAUCAUUGUUUGGGAGAGGAGAGCUUGUUAUAGAUUCUUCAAAGAUCGGUCACAGAUACUUUAAAAAAGGUUUCUGGAUCGAUAUCAUUGCUGCCCUGCCUUUACCACAGGUCUGUCAACUGGAAAUUUGGGUAG
RNAcentral lists this long non-coding RNA (321 nucleotides) under Nicotiana benthamiana. Its description in RNAcentral is "long non-coding RNA (NBEN_LNC035583)". The record is from RNAcentral. Lineage: Eukaryota; Viridiplantae; Streptophyta; Magnoliopsida; Solanales; Solanaceae.